AAGAUUAAGCCAUGCAUGUCUAAGUAUAAGCAAUUUAUACAGUGAAACUGCGAAUGGCUCAUUAAAUCAGUUAUCGUUUAUUUGAUAGUUCCUUUACUACAUGGUAUAACUGUGGUAAUUCUAGAGCUAAUACAUGCUUAAAAUCCCGACCUCUGGAAGGGAUGUAUUUAUUAGAUAAAAAUCAAUGUCUUCGGACUCUUUGAUGAUUCAUAAUAACUUUUCGAAUCGCAU
This 231-nucleotide ribosomal RNA is filed under the name uncultured fungus. RNAcentral's name for it is "partial 18S ribosomal RNA". It matches the Rfam family "Eukaryotic small subunit ribosomal RNA", at positions 40 to 274 of the family's 1831-position model. Lineage: Eukaryota; Fungi. The record is from RNAcentral.